UGGGAAAUGAAACGCACCUGCGUGAUUUCUCGACCGGUAUUGGAUCAGCGUGGAUCUCCGAUCGCAACAGAGACACUCUCAGCGUCCUCCUGGUCAGCGGAUGAGAUCUGGCUAACCAUAGAUUCUACCGGAGGAUCCUGAGCUCAGCACAGAACCCGCUGAUAUCCUGUCCUUUAAACUCAGGAACAAACUCUUCAUACCGCCCGACUGUUCGACCACCUGCACGCUACAAUACAAAUGUAUUAAUCCCCCACAUGUGGAGUGUUCAGGUCUGACAAGAUACUAAAAGUCCACAGCCGCCGCAGUUUAGCCCUGCCGUUAAUAUCUCCAGAGCGGGCCUGGGUCCUCCUUCCGGGUCCGGUUGACUUGGACCAGGGCUCCCGGGUGCAGUGUGACUCAUGGGACGGCGGAGGCGGUAUCCAAGGUGAGCAGACAGAAGUGCGGGUUCAGGACACGGAGGCGGUCCCUCGGGAUGUCUCGAGGACUUCCGCCCGGCCGCUCUGAGAAUGAGGCCCGAUCUCGGAGAGCAGGUGUUCACAAUGGCUCCGAGGAGGUUCCUGUUCUAAAAAGGGAGAGGUGUGAACGAGCGUAUGCAGGAUAAGGGGAACAAGCCGUGAAAGCACUGUAAAAUGUUUGCUAUGGGUGUGUGAGAACAAUGAAUUACUUUGGCUCUUGCUCUUUUUUUUGAUGGCCUCUAGGUUUUGCUCAAACUUCAGGGUGUUUUUAAAGAUGUUAACAUCAUACAG
Molecule: long non-coding RNA, 746 nt
Organism: Esox lucius (northern pike)
Lineage: Eukaryota; Metazoa; Chordata; Actinopteri; Esociformes; Esocidae
Source: Ensembl